Molecule: ribosomal RNA, 250 nt
Filed under: uncultured Lachnospiraceae bacterium
Lineage: Bacteria; Bacillati; Bacillota; Clostridia; Lachnospirales; Lachnospiraceae
Description: partial 16S ribosomal RNA
Rfam family: Bacterial small subunit ribosomal RNA
Source: RNAcentral
GACUGAGUGGCGGACGGGUGAGUAACGCGUGGGUAACCUGCCUUAUACAGGGGGAUAACAGUUGGAAACGACUGCUAAUACCGCAUAAGCGCACGGUAUCGCAUGAUACAGUGUGAAAAACUCCGGUGGUACAGGAUGGACCCGCGUCUGAUUAGCUGGUUGGUGAGGUAACGGCCCACCAAGGCAACGAUCAGUAGCCGGCCUGAGAGGGUGAACGGCCACAUUGGAACUGAGACACGGCCCAAACUCC